RNAcentral lists this long non-coding RNA (214 nucleotides) under Macaca mulatta (Rhesus monkey). RNAcentral's name for it is "lncRNA (ENSMMUG00000051125.1)". Lineage: Eukaryota; Metazoa; Chordata; Mammalia; Primates; Cercopithecidae. The record is from RNAcentral.
UUUUAACUGUAGCCACAUGACGUCAUUCCUAACUGGCCAGCCUUCCUUCUCCCCCGACUCAAUGCAGCCCUCGUGGCCUCGCAGUCCAGGAGCUCCCCUGGCUUAGGAACAGCUGACAACUCCACAGCUCCCAGCAGUGGCACCUGGAGAAGGGGCGGAUGGGCACUGACUUGUGGGCGUGCUCUGGGGCACCCCGUCCCCAGCUGUCAUGAGU